RNAcentral lists this ribosomal RNA (497 nucleotides) under uncultured bacterium. RNAcentral describes it as "partial 16S ribosomal RNA". It matches the Rfam family "Bacterial small subunit ribosomal RNA", at positions 28 to 507 of the family's 1533-position model. The record is from RNAcentral.
GACGAACGCUGGCGGCGUGCCUAAUACAUGCAAGUUGAGCGCUGAAGGUUGGUACUUGUACCAACUGGAUGAGCAGCGAACGGGUGAGUAACGCGUGGGGAAUCUGCCUUUGAGCGGGGGACAACAUUUGGAAACGAAUGCUAAUACCGCAUAAAAUCUUUAAACACAAGGUUCAAGUUUGAAAGAUGCAAUUGCAUCACUCAAAGAUGAUCCCGCGUUGUAUUAGCUAGUUGGUGAGGUAAAGGCUCACCCAGGCGAUGAUACAUAGCCGACCUGCGAGGGUGAUAUGCCACACUGGGACUCGGACACGGCCCAAACACCUAGGGGGGAGAGAGGUAGGGGAACUCUGGCGAAGGACGCAAGUCUGACCGGGCGACACCGCGCGAGAGAAGAAGGUUUUCGGGUCGUAUAACUCUGUUUGAAGAGAAGAAAGCAGAUGUGUGUGUAACGCUCAUCAACUGACGGUAACUACACAAAAAGGCACGGCUAACUACGUG